Molecule: ribosomal RNA, 200 nt
Filed under: uncultured bacterium
Lineage: Bacteria
Description: partial 16S ribosomal RNA
Rfam family: Bacterial small subunit ribosomal RNA
Source: RNAcentral
AACGAACGCUGGCGGCAGGCUUAACACAUGCAAGUCGAACGCCCCGCAAGGGGAGUGGCAGACGGGUGAGUAACGCGUGGGAAUCUACCUAGUUCUACGGAACAACAGAGGGAAACUUCUGCUAAUACCGUAUACGCCCUAAGGGGGAAAGAUUUAUCGGAAUUAGAUGAGCCCGCGUAAGAUUAGCUAGUUGGUGGGGU